UACGUAGGGCGCAAGCGUUAUCCGGAAUUAUUGGGCGUAAAGAGCUCGUAGGCGGUUUGUCGCGUCUGCCGUGAAAGUCCGGGGCUCAACUCCGGAUCUGCGGUGGGUACGGGCAGACUAGAGUGAUGUAGGGGAGACUGGAAUUCCUGGUGUAGCGGUGAAAUGCGCAGAUAUCAGGAGGAACACCGAUGGCGAAGGCAGGUCUCUGGGCAUUAACUGACGCUGAGGAGCGAAAGCGUGAGGAGCGAACAGG
RNAcentral lists this ribosomal RNA (253 nucleotides) under uncultured bacterium. Its description in RNAcentral is "partial 16S ribosomal RNA". It matches the Rfam family "Bacterial small subunit ribosomal RNA", at positions 524 to 776 of the family's 1533-position model. The record is from RNAcentral.